RNAcentral lists this ribosomal RNA (259 nucleotides) under uncultured prokaryote. RNAcentral describes it as "partial 16S ribosomal RNA". It matches the Rfam family "Bacterial small subunit ribosomal RNA", at positions 526 to 784 of the family's 1533-position model. The record is from RNAcentral.
CGGAGGAUCCGAGCGUUAUCCGGAUUUAUUGGGUUUAAAGGGUGCGCAGGCGGAAGAUUAAGUCGGUGGUGAAAUUCUGCAGCUCAACUGUAAAAGUGCCAUUGAUACUGGUUUUCUUGAGUGUGGAUGAAGUAGGCGGAAUUUGUGGUGUAGCGGUGAAAUACAUAGAUAUCACGAGGAACUCCGAUUGCGCAGGCAGCUUACUAAACUACUACUGACGCUCAGGCACGAAGGCGUGGGGAUCAAACAGGAUUAGAUA